RNAcentral lists this ribosomal RNA (116 nucleotides) under Periophthalmus magnuspinnatus. The record is from RNAcentral. Lineage: Eukaryota; Metazoa; Chordata; Actinopteri; Gobiiformes; Gobiidae.
ACUUUUGGCCAAACCUCCUUCUUAAAGCUUGAUCCUGUCAGAUCUCAGAGGCUAAACAAGAUUGGGCCUGGUAAUACUUGGAUGGGAAACCACUGAAAAUAUCAGGUGCCACAGUA